Molecule: ribosomal RNA, 1311 nt
Filed under: metagenome
Description: SSU rRNA
Rfam family: Eukaryotic small subunit ribosomal RNA
Source: RNAcentral
AGUCUGGUGCCAGCAGCCGCGGUAAUUCCAGCUCCAAUAGCGUUUAUUAAAGUUGCUGCAGUUAAAAAGCUCGUAGUUGGAUUUCUGGUUUCGGUGCCCUUGGGUCGCUCCGAUCUCUUCGGAGGUUGUGAGUGUAUUCCGAGGUCUUUUUUGCGCCGGCCAUCUUUUCGGAGGGGGUGUUGGGUGUAAUAGCUCAAUGCCAUUCCAAACUCUCCGAAUCAUAUACUGAUAAAAUUAGAGUGUUUAAAACGGCUUCUCAGCAUUUGAAUACAUUAGCAUGGAAUAAUAAGAUAGGACUCCUGUUCUGUUUUGUUGGUUUUCCUUUGGGAUUGGAGUAAUGAUUGAUAGGGAUAGUUGGGGGUGCUAGUAUUUAACGGCCAGAGGUGAAAUUCUUGGAUUCGUUAAAGACUAACUAAUGCGAAAGCAUUCACCAAGGAUGUCUUCUUUAAUCAAGAACGAAAGUUGAGGGAUCGAAGACGAUCAGAUACCGUCGUAGUCUCAACUAUAAACUUUACCGACUAGGAAUGGGUGAGCGUUGAAAUUUCUUCCUGCAGAUUUGAAAUAUUAGUUUGCAGGGAAAGCCCGACCUCAUCCGCACCUUAUGAGAAAUCACAAGUCUUUGGGUUCUGGGGAGAGUAUGGUCGCAAGGCUGAAACUUAAAGGAAUUGACGGAAGGGCACCACCAGGAGUGGAGCCUGCGGCUUAAUUUGACCCAACACGGGGAAACUUACCAGGUCCAGACAUAGUAAGGAUUGACAGAUUGAAGCUCUUUCUUGAUUCUAUGGUUGGUGGUGCAUGGCCGUUCUUAGUUGGUGGAGUGAUUUGUCUGGUUUAUUCCGUUAACGAACGAGGCCUCGACCUGCUAAAUAGUGCCGGCAACUGUCACCUUUCGGGGUGUCUUGUUGCAACCGGCUUUCAAUACUUCUUAGAGGGACUCUCGGUGUCAACUAGCCGAUGGAAGCUCGAGGCAAUAACAGGUCUGUGAUGCCCUUAGAUGUUCUGGGCCGCACGCGCGCUACACUGACACACUCAUCGAGUUUACAACCUUGGCCGAUAGGUCUGGGUAAUCUGGCUCAACGUGUGUCGUGCUGGGGAUAGAUCAUUGUAAUUAUUGAUCUUCAACGAGGAAUUCCUAGUAAACGCAAGUCAUCAGCUUGCAUUGAUUACGUCCCUGCCCUUUGUACACACCGCCCGUCGCUACUACCGAUUGAAUGGCUUAGUGAGUUUCAUGGAUCAGUGUGCUUCCUGGCUCCUCGUGGGUCAGGUCGUUCUGCCGAGAAGUGAAUCAAACUUGAUCAUUUAGAGGAAGUG